RNAcentral lists this long non-coding RNA (745 nucleotides) under Malus domestica (apple). Its description in RNAcentral is "long non-coding RNA (MDOM_LNC017380)". The record is from RNAcentral. Lineage: Eukaryota; Viridiplantae; Streptophyta; Magnoliopsida; Rosales; Rosaceae.
CCUUUGAGGAAUGCUUUGAAUUGUUGUAUGCGCUUUCCUAUCCAAUUCAUUAACUUAAGGAGAACUUGAAGGUUAAUUUAAGCGUAUCUAAUUAACUUGGGGGUGUUGAGUUUCAUAAUUUAUUGGAAAAACAACUGAAAAUCGUUUUGUUUGCAAGUGUGACAUGUGUGGAUAAGAACCUCCUAACUAGCCUUUUAUCCAUCCUUUUCAUCUAAAAACGUUUUACAAUCUGUUUUGUUUUAAAGUUUCUGUUUUGUUUUCAAUUUUCGUCCAAAACAAAUCCCCCUUUAUUUUGAAGUCUUAGAUUAGUUAGAAAGUGUUUUGAUUUGUGUUUCUAAGUGUUUUGAUUCAAGUUUUCACCCAAAUUCGUCCAAGUUCUUGUUAGGUUCUCAAAACUGCCCAGAAAGUGGUUUUUAGGCAGUUUUGAGUCAUUAGGUUGCUGUUUUGAGUUUUAGGUUUGUUUAAGUGUUUUAACCUUUAGUUUUGCAUUCUUUGAGUCUAGUUUAGUGUUUUAAACUUUGUUUUUGAGUUUUUAAGUCAGUUUCCAAGUGUUUAGCAAUCCCUCAUAAUCCCCGGUCUAGAACGAUCCCUACUUACAUACUUUACUACAUUUGUCAAAAGAGGGUUUAAUUUGUGUGCUUAAUAUAUUUCGCAUCAAGGCUCAUCUUCUGGGUUAGGGUUCUCGUCGUCCUGUGGCUCCAGUCGGCUAACGAGUGCAGCGAUUUGCAAGUCUUUUUCUUCCACA